AUUUUUUCAAGAAACAGCAACAGUAUACACACUUUUAUUAUAUAUUCCCUUUUAGUAGAAGCCCUAUAGAAUAAAUCGAAAUAAAAAAAAGUUCGGAAAUAUUUCGCUGUUGUAGGGGGCAGCACCAUUAAAAUCCUCAAUUUUUCAGUUUUUUUUUUAUUAUGUAUGAUUUUUACGCCCCAUGUUGAUCAAAUUUAGGUGAAAUAUUCACUUAUGACAUGCCAAUUCCUAUACAUAUGAUAUAUCAGGGUUUAAAGGGUUAAGUUUUUGCAUUUUGAGUGGAACAAUAUACAAAGCUUGUUUGUGUAUGAUUGAGGGGGAGGGUCGCUUGAACUAUUUCCAAGGGGAAAAAUAGUUCUCAAUAUAUUGAUCAAAAUAUCACACAGCACUUUAGUGUAGAAAUUUUAGCAAAUGAUUACUAUGUUUGGUGUCUCCCACAUUAAUUUUUUUUAUUUAAGAUGUGAUAAUGUAAACAGGUACUCCUGCAAAAUAUUUGUUCAGUGGUACAAGCAGUUAAAUAAAAAAAUAAACAGGUGUCCCCAUUUUCUUCCUCAAUAUGUAAAUAUGCAAGAGUCAAUGUUCUUGAUACAGAUUUUUUUC
Molecule: long non-coding RNA, 600 nt
Filed under: Mytilus galloprovincialis (Mediterranean mussel)
Lineage: Eukaryota; Metazoa; Mollusca; Bivalvia; Mytilida; Mytilidae
Source: RNAcentral